CAACAAGACAGAUUUUCUGCACCAUCCCCUUUCAACACCACACAUCUUCUCGCAAGUGAGACAGAAAAGAAGUGGGACAAAUUGCACAAGGCGAUUUAAAAAAGCGGAAGAAAUUGGAUUUUCAAGACUCAAAGCGUCCCCCAAGACCCUCCGGUAGGAAAAGAAAAAAAAUAUCACCGGAGGUGGAAAAAAUAUAUACACAUCUAUAUCUCGA
Long non-coding RNA from Pogoniulus pusillus (Red-fronted tinkerbird), 214 nucleotides. RefSeq lists it as uncharacterized. The record is from RefSeq and is a predicted model, not a curated record. The transcript is spliced from 2 exons. Lineage: Eukaryota; Metazoa; Chordata; Aves; Piciformes; Lybiidae.